This 253-nucleotide ribosomal RNA is filed under the name Segatella copri DSM 18205. Its description in RNAcentral is "Prevotella copri DSM 18205 partial 16S ribosomal RNA". It matches the Rfam family "Bacterial small subunit ribosomal RNA", at positions 524 to 776 of the family's 1533-position model. Lineage: Bacteria; Pseudomonadati; Bacteroidota; Bacteroidia; Bacteroidales; Prevotellaceae. The record is from RNAcentral.
UACGGAAGGUCCGGGCGUUAUCCGGAUUUAUUGGGUUUAAAGGGAGCGUAGGCCGGAGAUUAAGCGUGUUGUGAAAUGUAGAUGCUCAACCUCUGAACUGCAGCGCGAACUGGUUUCCUUGAGUACGCAUAAAGUGGGCGGAAUUCGUGGUGUAGCGGUGAAAUGCUUAGAUAUCACGAAGAACUCCGAUUGCGAAGGCAGCUCACUGGGGCGCAACUGACGCUGAAGCUCGAAAGCGCGGGUAUCGAACAGG